Molecule: ribosomal RNA, 497 nt
Filed under: uncultured bacterium
Lineage: Bacteria
Description: partial 16S ribosomal RNA
Rfam family: Bacterial small subunit ribosomal RNA
Source: RNAcentral
GACGAACGCUGGCGGCGUGCCUAAUACAUGCAAGUAGAACGCUGAAGAGAGGAGCUUGCUCUUCUUGGAUGAGUUGCGAACGGGUGAGUAACGCGUAGGUAACCUGCCUUGUAGCGGGGGAUAACUAUUGGAAACGAUAGCUAAUACCGCAUAACAAUGGAUGACACAUGUCAUUUAUUUGAAAGGGGCAAUUGCUCCACUACAAGAUGGACCUGCGUUGUAUUAGCUAGUAGGUGAGGUAAUGGCUCACCUAGGCGACGAUACAUAGCCGACCUGAGAGGGUGAUCGGCCGCACUGGGACUGAGACACGGCCCAGACUCCUACGGGAGGCAGCAGUAGGGAAUCUUCGGCAAUUGGGGCAACCCUGACCGAGCAACGCCGCGUGAGUGAAGAAGGGUUUCGGAUCGUAAAGCUCGGUUGUAAGUCAAGAACGGGUGUGAGAGUGGAAAGUUCACACUGUGACGGUAGCUUACCAGAAAGGGACGGCUAACUACGUG